CAGCUUCCUUAUGUGCUACAUUGGCUUUUGGUUUUGAGAAAACGAAUGGAAUCUAAGAUUAGGUACCUGCCAGGAUGCUGAAGGUCUCUGCCCUCAUCGCUCUCCUCUGUGGGCUUCUCGCCUCUACCUCUGCUCAAUACCACCAGUCCGGUGUGUCGGCCCAGUUCCUUGAUGAUUUGACCCAGGGACUCCUAGGCGAGGGCCUUCUUUCCGGCAUCCAGACAUUUGACCUCCAGGGACAACUGUCAAAAGUCCUGGGCUCUGUCUCUGGCCUCCUGGGCAAGUUGGGAAAUAGUGGCAUCAGGGUAAAACUGAUAGACCCUCGGCUCCUUUCCGUCUCUUUCAAGAACAAUCCUGAUAGCAAAGAUGCUGAAGUAUCCAUACCGUUGGAAUUUUCUGUGGAAGUGAA
Sorex fumeus (smoky shrew) is the source of this 409-nucleotide long non-coding RNA. RefSeq lists it as uncharacterized. Lineage: Eukaryota; Metazoa; Chordata; Mammalia; Eulipotyphla; Soricidae. The transcript has 4 exons. The record is from RefSeq and is a predicted model, not a curated record.